RNAcentral lists this ribosomal RNA (465 nucleotides) under Vreelandella stevensii. RNAcentral's name for it is "partial 16S ribosomal RNA". It matches the Rfam family "Bacterial small subunit ribosomal RNA", at positions 338 to 795 of the family's 1533-position model. Lineage: Bacteria; Pseudomonadati; Pseudomonadota; Gammaproteobacteria; Oceanospirillales; Halomonadaceae. The record is from RNAcentral.
CCUACGGGUGGCAGCAGUGGGGAAUAUUGGACAAUGGGGGCAACCCUGAUCCAGCCAUGCCGCGUGUGUGAAGAAGGCCCUCGGGUUGUAAAGCACUUUCAGUGAUGAAGAACGCCUGGUGGUUAAUACCCAUCAGGAAAGACAUCACUCACAGAAGAAGCACCGGCUAACUCCGUGCCAGCAGCCGCGGUAAUACGGAGGGUGCGAGCGUUAAUCGGAAUUACUGGGCGUAAAGCGCGCGUAGGUGGCUUGAUAAGCCGGUUGUGAAAGCCCCGGGCUCAACCUGGGAACGGCAUCCGGCACUGUCAAGCUAGAGUGCAGGAGAGGAAGGUAGAAUUCCCGGUGUAGCGGUGAAAUGCGUAGAGAUCGGGAGGAAUACCAGUGGCGAAGGCGGCCUUCUGGACUGACACUGACACUGAGGUGCGAAAGCGUGGGUAGCAAACAGGAUUAGAUACCCUAGUAGUC